UUAUUUAUUUUAUUAUAUUUAUUUUUUGUUUAUUUAAUUAUUUAAUAGAAAUAAUUUUAUUGAAUUUUGUCUUAGUAUAUUUUGUAGAAUUGAUUUUUUAAAUUAUAGUUUAUUGGUAAUGUAAUUGUUUUAUGAAAUAUUAUUUUAAAUUUUUAAAAGUAUAUUUUAUUUAUUGUACCUUUUGUAUCAGGGUUUAUCAAAAUUUUAGUAUUUAAUUUACUUGUCUCGAUUUGGGUUGAUUUAUAAAUAAUUUACAGUUAAUGUAUCAUAAUUAUUAUUAAAUUAUUUAUUGAAAUGAAAUGUUAAUCGUUUCCCAAGAUAUCUAGUUUCUUAAGAAAAAUUUUAAUUUUUUAAAGUUAAUUGUUUUUAUUUAAUUUUUUAAUUAUAAAUAUUAACUUAUUUAUUCUUUAAGGGAUAAGCUUUGAAGUUAAUAACCUAUAAUUUGUUUUUAUAAAAUAUAAUAGUAAGCUUUAAACCAGCUAUCUUUAAGAUUACGUUUUAGUUCAUUAUUUUCUAUUUUGAUUUUAUAAUUAUUUUAGGUUUUUUAUUAAGAUUAUUUAUUUAAUUUUAAAAUUUUUGUAAUAAUGAUAGAAUUAGUAUAUUUAUUUGUAUAUAAUUUUUACCUUGUGAAUUUAUUAUAAGGAACUAGGCAAAAUUGAUUUCCGCCUGUUUAUCAAAAACAUGUCCUCUUGAAAAUACUUUGAGGUCUGGCCUGCUCACUGAGCGGAUUUUUAAAGAGCCGCGGUAUUUUGACCGUGCAAAGGUAGCAUAAUCAUUAGUCUCUUAAUUAGUGGCUGGAAUGAAUGGCUUGACGAGAAAUCAACUGUCUCUUAAUAAAUUUUGAA
RNAcentral lists this ribosomal RNA (845 nucleotides) under Schistocerca lineata (birdwing grasshopper). RNAcentral's name for it is "partial 16S ribosomal RNA". Lineage: Eukaryota; Metazoa; Arthropoda; Insecta; Orthoptera; Acrididae. The record is from RNAcentral.